GGAUCUUUGUCUGUGCGAAUUCUUUGCCUUCUUAUAUUACAUAAAAAGAAAGAAAAUGAACUUUCUUUCUUUUGUUGUUAAUGAUGAUUGAUGAAUGAUGAUUAAUAACUAAUUAUAUAUGUACGUGUUUAUUAUUCUUCUUGGCUUUAGCUUAUAUAUAUGGUAAUGAUUCACAUGCAGGCAAUCUUGAAUUUAAAAUCA
Molecule: unclassified non-coding RNA, 201 nt
Filed under: Hevea brasiliensis (rubber tree)
Lineage: Eukaryota; Viridiplantae; Streptophyta; Magnoliopsida; Malpighiales; Euphorbiaceae
Source: RNAcentral